CUUCCUUUCCCCCUUCCAGACAAUUAAAACAUCAUCAAUAUAUCUUCUCCAUUGUACCAGGUUCGCACCAAAUGGGUUAUUCUGCCAAAUAUUCUGAAGUUCCCAAUCUGCCACAAAAAUAUUGGCAUAACUUGGUGCGAACCUGUUACCCAUGGCUGUUCCACAUAUCUGAAGGUAAUAAACCUCAUCGAACCAAAAGAAAUUAUGGAACAGGAUAAACCUUAUAAGAGUCAAAAUAAACGAAAUUUGUUCUGUGUUCAUAUCAGGAUCUUUCAUUAAAAUCCUAUGGAUGGCAUCAAUACCCUUCUCAUGAUCUAUAACUGUGUACAAAGAUGCCACAUCCACAGUCGCCCAAAGGUAAUUUUCAUCCCUAAUGAUCUGAGCUGAAUCUUUAACGUACGAUCUUGUUUGUGUCACAUAUUUCUGAAGAAAAAAGUCGAUAUAUUGGGAAAUAUUACUAGUCAUAGA
Molecule: non-coding RNA, 468 nt
Organism: Pelobates cultripes (western spadefoot toad)
Lineage: Eukaryota; Metazoa; Chordata; Amphibia; Anura; Pelobatidae
Source: the annotation of a GenBank genome assembly